This 496-nucleotide ribosomal RNA is filed under the name uncultured bacterium. Its description in RNAcentral is "partial 16S ribosomal RNA". It matches the Rfam family "Bacterial small subunit ribosomal RNA", at positions 28 to 506 of the family's 1533-position model. The record is from RNAcentral.
GAUGAACGCUGGCGGCGUGCCUAAUACACGCAAGUCGAGCGAACAGACGAGGAGCUUGCUCCUCUGACGUUAGCGGCGGACGGGUGAGUAACACGUGGAUAACCUACCUAUAAGACUGGGAUAACUUCGGGAAACCGGAGCUAAUACCGGAUAAUAUAUUGAACCGCAUGGUUCAAUAGUGAAAGACGGUUUUGCUGUCACUUAUAGAUGGAUCCGCGCCGCAUUAGCUAGUUGGUAAGGUAACGGCUUACCAAGGCAACGAUGCGUAGCCGACCUGAGAGGGGGAACGGCCACACUGGAAGUGAGACACGGUCCAGGCUCCUACGGGAGGCAGCAGUAGGGAAUCUUCCGCAAUGGGCGAGAGCCUGACGGAGCCACGGCGCGUGAGUGAUGAAGGUCUUCGGAUCGUAAAACUCUGUUAUUAGGGAAGAACAAAUGUGUAAGUAACUAUGCGCGUCUUGACGGUACCUAAUCAGAACACCACGGCUAACUACGU